AGAGUUUGAUCAUGGCUCAGGAUGAACGCUAGCGGCAGGCUUAACACAUGCAAGUCGUGGGGCAGCGCGAGGUAGCAAUACUUUGGCGGCGACCGGCAAACGGGUGCGUAACACGUACGCAAUCUACCCUUAAUUGGAGAAUAGCCCAGAGAAAUUUGGAUUAAUACUCCGUAACAUGUUGAGAAGGCAUCUUCUUAAUAUUAUAGCUCCGGCGAUUAGGGAUGAGCGUGCGGCUGAUUAGGUAGUUGGUAGGGUAACGGCCUACCAAGCCAACGAUCAGUAGCCGAUGUGAGAGCAUGAUCGGCCACACGGGCACUGAGACACGGGCCCGACUCCUACGGGAGGCAGCAGUGAGGAAUAUUGGUCAAUGGACGCAAGUCUGAACCAGCCAUGCCGCGUGAAGGAUGAAGGUCCUCUGGAUUGUAAACUUCUUUUCUCUGGGGCGAAAAAAGGGAAUUCUUUCCCACUUGACAGUACCAGAGGAAUAAGCACCGGCUAACUCCGUGCCAGCAGCCGCGGUAAUACGGAGGGUGCAAGCGUUAUCCGGAUUCACUGGGUUUAAAGGGUGCGUAGGUGGGCAGGUAAGUCCGUGGUGAAAUCCUAUAGCUUAACUAUAGAACUGCCAUGGAUACUAUUUGUCUUGAAUGUUGUGGAGGUAAGCGGAAUAUGUCAUGUAGCGGUGAAAUGCUUAGAUAUGACAUAGAACACCUAUUGCGAAGGCAGCUUACUACGCAAAUAUUGACACUGAGGCACGAAAGCGUGGGUAGCAAACAGGAUUAGAUACCCUAGUAGUCC
Molecule: ribosomal RNA, 795 nt
Filed under: uncultured bacterium
Lineage: Bacteria
Description: bacterial SSU rRNA
Rfam family: Bacterial small subunit ribosomal RNA
Source: RNAcentral